RNAcentral lists this ribosomal RNA (253 nucleotides) under uncultured bacterium. Its description in RNAcentral is "partial 16S ribosomal RNA". It matches the Rfam family "Bacterial small subunit ribosomal RNA", at positions 524 to 776 of the family's 1533-position model. The record is from RNAcentral.
UACGGAGGGGGCUAGCGUUGUUCGGAAUUACUGGGCGUAAAGGGCGCGUAGGCGGCCCGCUAAGUCGAACGUGAAAUCCCCGAGCUCAACUCGGGAACUGCGUCCGAUACUGGUGGGCUUGAAUCCGGGAGAGGGAUGCGGAAUUCCAGGUGUAGCGGUGAAAUGCGUAGAUAUCUGGAGGAAUACCGGUGGCGAAGGCGGCAUCCUGGACCAUUACUGACGCUGAGGCGCGAAAGCUAGGGGAGCAAACGGG